AACGAACGCUGGCGGCGCGCUUAAUACAUGCAAGUCGAACGAGAAGGUGUAGCAAUACACUUGUAAAGUGGCGAACGGGUGAGGAAUACAUGGGUAACCUACCCUCGAGUGGGGAACAACCAGCCGAAAGGUUGGCUAAUACCGCGUACGCUUCCGGGUCUUCGGAUUCGGAAGGAAAGUCAUACCGUGGGUAUGACGCUCAAGGAUGGGCUCAUGUCCUAUCAGCUUGUUGGUAGGGUAACGGCCACCAAGGCUCCGACGGGUAGCUGGUCUGAGAGGACGAUCAGCCACACUGGCACUGCGACACGGGCCAGACUCCUACGGGAGGCAGCAGUAAGGAAUAUUGCGCAAUGGGCGAAAGCCUGACGCAGCGACGCCGCGUGGGGAUGAAGGUCUUCGGAUUGUAAACCCCUUUCGGGAGGGAAAAUGGAACGAGCAAUCGUUCGGAUGGUACCUCCAGAAGCAGCCACGGCUAACUUCGUGCCAGCCGCCGC
RNAcentral lists this ribosomal RNA (494 nucleotides) under uncultured bacterium. RNAcentral describes it as "bacterial SSU rRNA". It matches the Rfam family "Bacterial small subunit ribosomal RNA", at positions 29 to 518 of the family's 1533-position model. The record is from RNAcentral.